UACGUAGGGCGCAAGCGUUGUCCGGAAUUAUUGGGCGUAAAGAGCUCGUAGGCGGCCUGUUGCGUCCGCUGUGAAAUCCCGGGGCUCAACCCCGGGCCUGCAGUGGAUACGGGCUGGCUAGAGGCAGGCAGGGGAGAACGGAAUUCCUGGUGUGGCGGUGAAAUGCGCAGAUAUCAGGAGGAACACCAAUGGCGAAGGCAGCUCACUGGGACGGUAUUGACGCUGAGACGCGAAAGCGUGGGGAGCAAACAGG
RNAcentral lists this ribosomal RNA (253 nucleotides) under uncultured bacterium. RNAcentral's name for it is "partial 16S ribosomal RNA". It matches the Rfam family "Bacterial small subunit ribosomal RNA", at positions 524 to 776 of the family's 1533-position model. The record is from RNAcentral.